Homo sapiens (human) is the source of this 1697-nucleotide long non-coding RNA. Ensembl annotates it as LYPLAL1 divergent transcript. Its record names the gene LYPLAL1-DT. Lineage: Eukaryota; Metazoa; Chordata; Mammalia; Primates; Hominidae. The record is from Ensembl.
GCUGCUGGCCCGCUCUCUGAGGAGCUUUCAAUACUUUGGGGUCAAGUUUGAGGCAGUUGUAACUGUACUGAGUUUAGUUUUGCUAAUAAUGGUAUUCUACGUGUGUCAGCCUCGUGUGGACUUCUGUAAUGACUAAUGGAUAUGUUUAUAUCCUGAGCAUUUGCUGUAGGAAUUUUAAAUGCAAUCCCAAAACUCAAGAUUACCUUAUUUGGAGAAAUAUUCGUGUUACUAUGUUUAAAAUUUAAUAGAACCAUAUUUUACCUUUCACUUUGGGACUCGCACAGGAUGUUUGCAGCUCUUGAUAUACAGGAACUAGAACGUGUCUUUUAAGAGCAUGCGGUUUUAUAAUUACGUGGAAGUAUGCUACGCAAGGGAAAAAAGCCUCUUGCUAGUGUUAAGGGUCUUCAUAAACAGAAACCGCAAGGAACCUGGGAUCUGACAGCUGUUGGAGGAAUGCCUGUGAGGAAGGAGGAGGAACAGAAGAAUGCUUUGAUGUCUUAAAUGGUACAUCCAAACUUAAGUGAAAUAGAGCUGUGAGGACAUUUUGGGGAGAAGUGACCUAGAUAAGCACUGACUGUUGCAUUCAUCUCUCUUCUUGCUGAUUGUGAUGAUUUCCUGUGCCAUAGCCAUUCAAAGUCUGCCAAAAAAGGUGUGACCUAGUAUAUUCCCAGCUGUGGUGGCCACGCAGAGAGACUCCUGCUUGAGGAAAGGAGAGGGAAGAGUAAAGACGAGUUUGUCUUGCAUCUUGGGUAUCAGCUAGCAUGUAAUUUUCUUUCUCUACUUCUCUACAUUUGGAGGAUGGAAAUGUAGAUGUUCUUCCAUUGUGCCAGCCUCCUCAUUCUUCUUUCUCCAAUGCCGCAUCUUCCUGCAAACUUCCUGCCACAACUCAAACAACAGGAAAAUAAAUGAUCUGAAAUCCUCCUGAACUGCAGCCUACCUAUCGUGGUCUCUAUGGGUGCAAACUUCCUUCCAGAAGCUUGUUCAGCUGGCUAAAACAGGACAUUUGCCAAUGCAGCCAAAAGUUGGGUCUUAUACUGGCUACCUCCUAUGCAGAGUGAAAAACUUUUCUUUCUCCCACAGCCACAGACAUCGCUCCUCUUCCAGCUCAACAUCUUUCAAAGGGAUGGCUCUCAGUCCCGAAAUGAAAAGAAAAGGUGGCUUGGUGCAAAUCAUUCUCUUUAUCAGCAAAAGAAAUACCAAAGCCUGUGUCCUUCUGACAUAGUGAGCUGUCGAGGUAGUCCAGGGAAAAGAUGACAGUGAAUUGAGUUAUGGGAUGGCAAUGGAGACUGAAAAGAAUCUGUGUUUAUUAUAUGUAUAUAUAUCAUUAAGGUAGAACUAGUGGAUUUUCUCUGGCACUGCACAUGGGAAGCAAGUGAAGGAGAGUGAUCUAGAAUGACGCCACCAUUUUUGCCUGAGAAAUUCAGUACUCAGAGGUGUCUGUCAUUCAGAGAGAUGGAGGAAACAAGAAGAGGAGCAAGUUGGGGGAGAGGGUAAGCAGAAUCAAAAACUGUGUUGAUACAUUAACUUUAGGAUGCAUAGUAGACAUCAGAGUACAGAUGGAGUUUAGGAGCAAAGUUAUAUAGAGAGAUAAAUUUGAGAACCUGUAAUUCUUUUAUUUGUGGCAGAUAAUUAGACAAAUGAUUUCUAAAUAUUCCCAUGACUACUACAGAACAUCAAUAAAUUCCUUAAUAAUACUA